CGCCACGCUUAGCGCGUGGGGAGACAGUGUCAGGUGGGCAGUUUGACUGGGGCGGUCGCCUCCUCAAGAGUAACGGAGGCGCCCAAAGGUUCCCUCAGAAUGGAUGGAAAUCAUUCGCAGAGUGUAAGGGCACAAGGGAGCUUGACUGCGAGACUGACAAGUCGAGCAGGGACGAAAGUCGGGCUUAGUGAUCCGGUGGUUCCGCAUGGAAGGGCCAUCGCUCAACGGAUAAAAGCUACCCCGGGGAUAACA
This 252-nucleotide ribosomal RNA is filed under the name Listeria monocytogenes. RNAcentral describes it as "partial 23S ribosomal RNA". It matches the Rfam family "Bacterial large subunit ribosomal RNA", at positions 2228 to 2479 of the family's 2925-position model. Lineage: Bacteria; Bacillati; Bacillota; Bacilli; Caryophanales; Listeriaceae. The record is from RNAcentral.